GAUGAACGCUGACAGAAUGCUUAACACAUGCAAGUCUUUGGCAAAGCUGUGCUUGCACAGCCUAGCCAAGGCGGACGGGUGAGUAACGCGUAAUGAACUUGCCCUGCAGUCAGGGAUAACAGACGGAAACGACUGAUAAGACCUGGUAAAGUCAGGCGGACUCAUGUCCAGCCUGAUGAAAAGAGAUGCUGCAGGAGAGCCUUGCGUCCUAUUAGCUUGUUGGUGGGGUAACGGCCCACCAAGGCGAUGAUAGGUAGCCGGCCUGAGGGGGUGGACGGCCACAAGGGGACUGAGAUACGGCCCUUACUCCUACGGGAGGCAGCAGUGGGGAAUAUUGGAUAAGGGGGGCAACCCUGAUGCAGCAAUUCUGUGUGGACGAUGAAGGUUUUCGGAUUGUAAAGUGCUUUCAGCAGGGAGGAAAAAAAUGACGGUACCUGCAGAAGAAGCGACGGCUAACUACGUG
RNAcentral lists this ribosomal RNA (463 nucleotides) under uncultured bacterium. RNAcentral describes it as "partial 16S ribosomal RNA". It matches the Rfam family "Bacterial small subunit ribosomal RNA", at positions 28 to 507 of the family's 1533-position model. The record is from RNAcentral.